UCACACCACCUGGAGUUGGAGACUCGCGUUUGCUUUCCUUUUUUCCUUUUUGUCUGCACGUUACUUCUGUUGAAGGUAAUUCAAAAAAGAUGUAGUAAAUGUGAAUACAAAUUCCAAGAUUUGUGUGUGAGAGGCGUUAGAGUUGGUCCUUGUUUUAGGCUUUGCACUCAGUAUUGGCGGUGUAAUUUUGUAAUUCAAUAAUGUAAACCGUGUGCAGGCAAGUAGAGGUGGAGUCAGUGAUUUUGCACCCGUUGCCAAAUUUCCCCACACCCUUAUAAAUUAACCACAUGCAGAAAUAGUUUAUAUUUAUCUUUGACUCGAGAGAACCGAUUCCUCCACAACUGAAAAGACCAACUGGAAAAAAAAAAUGGAUCCCUGUGAUUGCAACAGCACUGGAACUUGCAGGUGUGGUGUCAACUGCAAAUGCAAAAAUUGCAAGUGUCCAACUUGCCAGAAAAGCUGCUGCUGUUGCUGUCCACCUGGGUGCAGCAAGUGUGCUUCUGGAUGUGUGUGCAAGGAUGAGGCCUGUGAUUCUAGCUGUUGCAAGUGAACAUCCACGUUUGUUUCACACACAGUGCAGCUGUGUGUGAGAGAACCACUGUCCCAUGCAGUGAGGCUUGUCGGGAGUAACAAAUGGCUGGCAAACCUUUUGUCAAAACUGUCAUUUACUUCUGGUUAUCUUCACUCUAGUUUUCCUAGUUCUGUUAAACAUAACCUUUGCAAUUAAUGUUGCAUGACUAAACCUGUGUGGAAAUGCCAAUAAAACAUCUGAGUAUUUC
Electrophorus electricus (electric eel) is the source of this 779-nucleotide non-coding RNA. Lineage: Eukaryota; Metazoa; Chordata; Actinopteri; Gymnotiformes; Gymnotidae. The record is from RefSeq and is a predicted model, not a curated record.